Molecule: ribosomal RNA, 478 nt
Filed under: uncultured bacterium
Lineage: Bacteria
Description: partial 16S ribosomal RNA
Rfam family: Bacterial small subunit ribosomal RNA
Source: RNAcentral
GAUGAACGCUCGCGGCAGGCCUAACACAUGCAAGUCGAGGGAGAAGCCCUUUCGGGGGCCGAAACCGGCGCACGGGUGCGUAACGCGUAUGCAACCUACCUUUCACAGGGGGAUAGCCCGAAGAAAUUUGGAUUAAUACCCCAUAAUAUUAUUGGAUGGCAUCAUUUGAUAAUUAAAACUGCGGUGGUGAAAGAUGGGCAUGCGUCCUAUUAGCUAGUUGGAGUGGUAACGGCACCCCAAGGCUACGAUAGGUAGGGGUCCUGAGAGGGAGAUCCCCCACACUGGUACUGAGACAGGGACCAGACUCCUACGGGAGGCAGCAGUGAGGAAUAUUGGUCAAUGGUCGGAAGACUGAACCAGCCAUGCCGCGUGCAGGAAGAAUGCCUUAUGGGUGGUAAACUGCUUUUAGAUGGGAAGAAUAAGGCGUACGUGUACGUUGAUGACGGUACCAUAUGAAUAAGCAUCGGCUAACUCCGUG